AUGCAAUCACACUUAUGGUCAAUUUUGAGCCAGAAUUCCUCACAAAUAUACUUUAACAAGUAUUCCGUACAAAAAACAUAUUACAAGAACUGCAGCUUAGAAGUUGUUCACAUUCUGCUGAACUAUGCUCACUCUGUGACACACGGAGCUAGCUUGUUGUCCAUCUGCAUAUCAUCGUCACCCUCUAUCACUGUAGUUUUCGAUCUCUUAUGGUCAAGCUCAACAUCAUCUUCACGUGUGUACUUUAGCCACUCAACAGAAACUCCGGUAGCUCACAACAUACAUUUGAUGAUGAGGCCAAACCAAAGAUGCCCUGUGUUGGAUGUAAAUUAG
This 333-nucleotide ribosomal RNA is filed under the name Triticum aestivum (bread wheat). RNAcentral's name for it is "partial small subunit ribosomal RNA". The record is from RNAcentral. Lineage: Eukaryota; Viridiplantae; Streptophyta; Magnoliopsida; Poales; Poaceae.